Molecule: ribosomal RNA, 369 nt
Filed under: uncultured bacterium
Lineage: Bacteria
Description: bacterial SSU rRNA
Rfam family: Bacterial small subunit ribosomal RNA
Source: RNAcentral
GAUGAACGCUAGCGGAAGGCCUAAUACAUGCAAGUCGAACGGGCAUAUUGAUUUCGGUUGAUAUGUUAGUGGCGCACGGGUGAGUAACGCGUACACAACCUGCCUUAUAUUGGGGGAUAGCCCUGGGAAACUGGGAGUAAUACCGCAUAAUAUUAUUGAGAGGCAUCUUUUGAUAAUUAAAGCUGAGGCGAUAUAAGAUGGGUGUGCGUCUGAUUAGGUAGUUGGUAGGGUAACGGACCGUACCAAGCCGACGAUCAGUAGGGGGUGGUGAGAGCAUGGCCCCCCGACCACGGGUACUGAGACACGGACCCGACUCCUACGGGAGGCAGCAGUAAGGAAUAUUGGUCGAAUGGAGGGAACUCUGAACCA